RNAcentral lists this ribosomal RNA (496 nucleotides) under uncultured bacterium. Its description in RNAcentral is "bacterial SSU rRNA". It matches the Rfam family "Bacterial small subunit ribosomal RNA", at positions 348 to 844 of the family's 1533-position model. The record is from RNAcentral.
GCAGCAGUGAGGAAUAUUGGACAAUGGAUGGAAAUCUGAUCCAGCCAUGCCGCGUGCAGGAAGACGGCCCUAUGGGUUGUAAACUGCUUUUGUAUGGGAGCAAUAAGAUCUACGUGUAGAUUGAUGAGAGUACCAUACGAAUAAGCACCGGCUAACUCCGUGCCAGCAGCCGCGGUAAUACGGAGGGUGCAAGCGUUAUCCGGAUUUAUUGGGUUUAAAGGGUGCGUAGGCGGUUUGAUAAGUCAGCGGUGAAAUAUUUCAGCUUAACUGGAAGGGUGCCGUUGAUACUGUCGAGCUUGAAUUUAGUUGCUGUGGGUGGAAUGUGUGGUGUAGCGGUGAAAUGCAUAGAUAUCACACAGAAUAUCGAUUGCGAAGGCAGCUCACAAAGCUAAUAUUGACGCUGAUGCACGAAAGUGUGGGGAUCAAACAGGAUUAGAUACCCUGGUAGUCCACACUGUAAACGAUGAUAACUCGCUGUCGGCGAUACACAGUCGGU